UCGCACUUCGCCAGCG
RNAcentral lists this ribosomal RNA (16 nucleotides) under Forestiera acuminata. Its description in RNAcentral is "partial 26S ribosomal RNA". Lineage: Eukaryota; Viridiplantae; Streptophyta; Magnoliopsida; Lamiales; Oleaceae. The record is from RNAcentral.